Molecule: long non-coding RNA, 798 nt
Filed under: Spirodela polyrhiza (greater duckweed)
Lineage: Eukaryota; Viridiplantae; Streptophyta; Magnoliopsida; Alismatales; Araceae
Description: long non-coding RNA (SPOL_LNC000149)
Source: RNAcentral
GAGCCUAAUUGGGCGAGGAUCUCCACAUUAAAUAGCUGGACAGGGCUGCCAUUUACAGCAGUAUAAUGGUCAAAACUACUAUCAGAACAAAGCCCAGACAGAUGCAUUCAAGAGCAAUCAGUUGAGAAGUGGAGGAUGAUCUACCUUUGAGCGCCUAAUGGGUCGAAUCGCUUCUUUCCCAGAAGAAGUGCACCAAGUUGAGUCAAGAAUUCUCACACACGGGUUCUGCUAAUCAGAGAUAAUCAGCCAUCGCCGCCGUGCUCGAGUAUCUCGCCGCCGAGGUGAGUGGUGUCUCCUAUCCUUCUCCUCCUGCUCUUCUCUCUGAGGACCCUUGCUCCGCCGCCUCCAUUGUUCUUAUGUUCAGUGAGUUUGGUCACGGAUCCAGGUCCUGGAGCUGGCCGGCAAUGCCGCGAGGGACAACAAGAAGAACCGGAUAAUCCCUAGUCACGUCCUCCUGGCGGUGAGAAACGACGAGGAGCUCGGGAAGUUGCUAACCGCGUCACCAUCGCCCACGGCGGCGUGCUCCCCAACAUCAACCCGGUGCUGCUGCCCAAGAAGACCGAUAAGGCCGCCAGGGAGGCUGCCUCCCCCAGCAAUGCCACUAAAUCCCCAAAGAAGGCCUAGGGCUUCGUUCUCCCCGCUUCAACCAUGUCCAUGUAUGUAGCUGAUGCAGCACGCCCCAACCAUCUCUUGAUCAAGGAAAGUGAUUUGAAUCAAAUUGGGGGAAUAACUGACAUAGAAGGUGUGGACGACGCCCUUGAUCCAGCUACGCGCCGGUUACGCCACCAAAGCAAAUGC